Molecule: ribosomal RNA, 460 nt
Filed under: uncultured bacterium
Lineage: Bacteria
Description: partial 16S ribosomal RNA
Rfam family: Bacterial small subunit ribosomal RNA
Source: RNAcentral
CCUACGGGUGGCAGCAGUGAGGAAUAUUGGUCAAUGGACGCAAGUCUGAACCAGCCAUGCCGCGUGCAGGAUGACGACUCUAUGAGUUGUAAACUGCUUUUGUACGAGGGUAAACCCCGAUACGUGUAUCGGGUUGCAAGUACCGUACGAAUAAGGAUCGGCUAACUCCGUGCCAGCAGCCGCGGUAAUACGGAGGAUCCGAGCGUUAUCCGGAUUUAUUGGGUUUAAAGGGUGCGUAGGCGGUUUGAUAAGUUAGCGGUGAAAUGUCGGGGCUCAACCCCGAAACUGCCUCUAAUACUGUUGGACUAGAGAAUAGUUGCGGUAGGCGGAAUGUAUGGUGUAGCGGUGAAAUGCUUAGAGAUCAUACAGAACACCGAUUGCGAAGGCAGCUUACCAAACUAUAUCUGACGUUGAGGCACGAAAGCGUGGGUAGCGAACAGGAUUAGAUACCCUAGUAGUC